This 119-nucleotide ribosomal RNA is filed under the name Triticum aestivum (bread wheat). The record is from RNAcentral. Lineage: Eukaryota; Viridiplantae; Streptophyta; Magnoliopsida; Poales; Poaceae.
GGAUGCGAUCAUACCAGCACUAAAGCACCGGAUCCCAUCAGAACUCCGUAGUUAAGCGUGCUUGGGCGAGAGUAGUACUAGGAUGGGUGACCUCCUCGGAAGUCCUCGUGUUGCAUUCC